CCUACGGGAGGCAGCAGUGGGGAAUAUUGCACAAUGGGGGGAACCCUGAUGCAGCGACGCCGCGUGGGUGAAGGAGUAUUUCGGUAUGUAAAGCGCUAUCAGCAGGGAAGAACAAUGACGGUACGUGAUGAUGAAACACCGGCUAUAUACGUUCCCGCAGCCGAGGUUAUACGUAUGGUGCAAGCGUUAUGCGGAUUUACGGGGUGUAAAGGGUGCGCAGGCGGGGCGUUUAGCUUGGUGUGAAAGCCCUCGGCCUAACCGCGGGACUGCAUUGGGGACUGGCGCGCUGGAGUGCCGGAGAGGUAGGCGGAAUUCCAAGUGUAGCGGUGAAAUGCGUAGAUAUAUGGAGGAACACCAGUGGCGAAGGCGGCCUACUGGACGGUGACUGACGCUGAGGCUCGAAAGCGUGGGGAGCAAACAGGAUUAGAUACCCUUGUAGUC
RNAcentral lists this ribosomal RNA (441 nucleotides) under uncultured bacterium. Its description in RNAcentral is "partial 16S ribosomal RNA". It matches the Rfam family "Bacterial small subunit ribosomal RNA", at positions 338 to 795 of the family's 1533-position model. The record is from RNAcentral.